Molecule: unclassified non-coding RNA, 941 nt
Filed under: Triodia aff. plurinervata BMA-2016
Lineage: Eukaryota; Viridiplantae; Streptophyta; Magnoliopsida; Poales; Poaceae
Description: partial external transcribed spacer
Source: RNAcentral
GAUGUUGGAUAUAUGUUUCGAGCCUCGAUUCCCUCCCCUCGCGGUCUGCAUCCACCGCGCCUCGGCGAUGGGACGCUCCACGGUUGCCCGUUUUUUCGGUCUUCCCUGGGGACCUUCGCCGGGCAAGACGGAUGAGGCGGUGCACCACCGAUUCUCGGCACCAGGACGUUGUGGCUAUCCUAAUUGGAAGGUCGCAUCAUCCUAAUGCCGGAAGAGGCGGUCGUGUCGUGACAACCGGCCUGAGAAUGAAACGGUGGGSGAAUGUCUGCCUUAUUGUUAUCGCGUUGGGUUUGUUGGAUAUGGAAAUCACGGUGUGCCCACCGUGUCAUCGGCUAGAAGCUGUCUGGCUGCUGCAAGGCUGCCAGUUCUUCCACGUCGUUGGCGAAUGGGUGCAAAUUGUCGGAUACGGGAAUCACGGUGCGCCCACCGUGUCAYCGGCGAGGAGCAUUCUGGCGGCCGGAAGGCYGCUGGUUCUUCCACGUCGUUGGCGAAUGGGUGCAACAAUAUGGGAUAUAGUGCCUGUUCUCGCGCUCUGUGGACUUUCGGUCGUCGUCUUCAUAGCAGACCCGUUGUGCUAAGCAUGAUGGGAUGCUCGGGCGUCUUGACCGUUGUGGCUACGCUGGCGCAUGAGCUGUUKUGGACAUGUGGCUGCUUGGAGGCCCCCCGUCGUUGUGCGGCCGACUCCCGGUGCAGUGUCCUUUCAAUUGUAUGGGUUUCAAAACCUGUGCCGUUGACGAGUGCUUGCGUUCUGCUACCCGUUCUGCGGGAAGUAGACCUUYGUACAAGUUGCCUUCGUCGCGUGCGUCCUUUGGGCGUGUCGCGUCGGUCACCUAGCGCUUUGCGGUGUUGCCUCGCGACGUCAGCCAUCUAGGCCGGCAUCGUCUAGGACACCUCGCACUCGCUCUUGGUCUCGGAUGACGCUCACUGUAUAGGCUCGUGGC